AACGAACGCUGGCGGCGUGCCUGAGACAUGCAAGUCGUGGGAGAAAGUCGGAGCAAUCCGGCUAGUAAACCGGCGCGCGGGUGAGUAACACGUGGACAACCUGCCUUGGAGUUCGGGAUAACCCGUCGAAAGACGGACUAAUACCGGAUAUGACCACGGGGAGUUCGCUCUCUGAGGUAAAAGAUGGCCUCUGCUCCUGCAAGCUAUCUCUUCGAGAGGGGUCCGCGUCCUANCAG
This 236-nucleotide ribosomal RNA is filed under the name uncultured bacterium. RNAcentral describes it as "partial 16S ribosomal RNA". It matches the Rfam family "Bacterial small subunit ribosomal RNA", at positions 29 to 244 of the family's 1533-position model. The record is from RNAcentral.